AUUCCUCUGGCAGAUUAAAUGCAAUAAAUUUAGAAUUUAUUUAUACAGUAGAACUGUGAGAAAUA
This 65-nucleotide transfer RNA is filed under the name Trichuris sp. 2 ARS-2017. Its description in RNAcentral is "tRNA-Leu". The record is from RNAcentral. Lineage: Eukaryota; Metazoa; Nematoda; Enoplea; Trichinellida; Trichuridae.